RNAcentral lists this transfer RNA (73 nucleotides) under Solirubrobacterales bacterium. Its description in RNAcentral is "tRNA-Asn". It matches the Rfam family "tRNA". Rfam says of the family: Transfer RNA (tRNA) molecules are approximately 80 nucleotides in length. Their secondary structure includes four short double-helical elements and three loops (D, anti-codon, and T loops). Lineage: Bacteria; Bacillati; Actinomycetota; Thermoleophilia; Solirubrobacterales. The record is from RNAcentral.
UCCGGGGUAGCUCAACAGGAAGAGCAAACGGCUGUUAACCGUUAGGUUGCGGGUUCGAGCCCCGCCCCCGGAG